GAGUUGACUUCUCCACAUCGCAUUCAGUAAAGAAGGGCACGAAAAUAAGGUCUUGCUCGGUCAGAAAGCGACGAUUUUUCUUUUACGUGAGGUAAAGUGAAUGAAAAAAAAACGUGAUUAAGAUUGUUUUAACACGGCGAUGAUUGAAGAAAACGUAUCUGAUGUGAGAGUGGAAGAUUAAAAACGUGGGAUAGUUGGUGAAAAUUUCAACAUUGUACACCUACGGGGCGUUUCGCUCACAUCAGGCGAGCAUAUUGUCUUCUGGGAAUGUAAUGCAAAAAUUAAACUUCAACUCCAGUGAAUCCCAGUGUGCUUUGGUGUUGUGUGCAAUUGUGGGAAGCAAAUAAGCUUGAAAGUGAAUAAAAUUUUUUGCUCAUUUUUGUGCUGUAAUUGUGCAAGUAAAAAGAAGAAAAAAAAGUGCAUCGCGAGUGAAAGAGAAACGAGAAAAAACUAGAAAUAAAAAAAAAACUCGUGAACGGAAGUGAUAUUGUAAAAUAUAAAGAAUAUUGUCUACAGUUGGAAAUAAGCUGCAAAGGAAACAAAAAUUCGCUAAUUGGAACAGCGAAUCUGCAAAAGAAGUGUUUCAAAUAAAGGGUAAGUUGAGUAAAAAAUUUUAAUAACAAAACAGACUGACACAAAACUUUUUUACACAGGUACGUACAAAACUGGACUUGACAGCUAGAUUCAGAAACAAAUCAAUUAAAUAGCAAAAACGAAAAAAAAAGAGGAAAAUUGUUUAUUACAAAGCCAUGUUGUUGUUUAUUAGGCAAAUCGUUGUUUGGUGGUAGAUCGUUUCAAACACCCUAAUAAAAAAAAAACAAACAUUAAAUGGAAAAUGGAGGG
Molecule: long non-coding RNA, 843 nt
Organism: Anopheles funestus (African malaria mosquito)
Lineage: Eukaryota; Metazoa; Arthropoda; Insecta; Diptera; Culicidae
Exons: 2
Source: RefSeq, a predicted model, not a curated record